GACGAACGCUGGCGGCGUGCUUAACACAUGCAAGUCGAACGGAAAGGCCCUGCUUUUGUGGGGUGCUCGAGUGGCGAACGGGUGAGUAACACGUGAGUAACCUGCCCUUGACUUUGGGAUAACUUCAGGAAACUGGGGCUAAUACCGGAUAGGAGCUCCUGCUGCAUGGUGGGGGUUGGAAAGUUUCGGCGGUUGGGGAUGGACUCGCGGCUUAUCAGCUUGUUGGUGGGGUAGUGGCUUACCAAGGCUUUGACGGGUAGCCGGCCUGAGAGGGUGACCGGCCACAUUGGGACUGGGAUACGGCCCAGACUCCUCAGGGGGGCAGCAGGGGGGAAUAUUGCACAAUGGGCGGAAGCCGGAAGCAGAAACGCCGGGUGGGGGAAGACGGCCUUCGGGUUGGAAAACGCUUUCGCCUGUGACGAAGCGGGGGUGGCGGUAAUGGGUGAAGGAGCACCGGCUAACUACGU
Molecule: ribosomal RNA, 467 nt
Filed under: uncultured bacterium
Lineage: Bacteria
Description: partial 16S ribosomal RNA
Rfam family: Bacterial small subunit ribosomal RNA
Source: RNAcentral